UCUUUAGGCUGGUGGAACCUUCAGCCGGAACCAUCAUAAUUGAUGGUGUUGACAUUUGCAAGCUAGGACUUCACGAUCUUAGAUCACGCUUUGGUAUCAUCCCUCAAGAACCAAUUCUAUUUCAAGGGACGGUUAGAAGCAACAUCGAUCCGCUAGAACAGUAUUCAGACGAUGAAAUAUGGAGAAGUCUUGAACGGUGCCAAUUAAAAGAUGUGGUAGCAGCAAAGCCGGAGAAACUUGAUUCCCCAGUGGUAGAAAGUGGUGACAACUGGAGUGUUGGACAAAGGCAGCUCCUUUGCUUAGGGAGAGUCAUGCUCAAGAAUAGUAAAAUUCUCUUCAUGGAUGAAGCAACAGCUUCUGUUGAUUCUCAAACUGAUGCUGUCAUCCAGGGGAUUAUCCGCGAGGACUUUGCAAACUGCACUAUUAUCACUAUUGCUCACCGAAUACCAACCGUGAUAGACUGUGAUCGUGUUCUCGUUGUAGAUGAUGGAUGGGCAAAGGAAUAUGAGAGACCAAGUACAUUGCUCGAAAGGCCAUCGCUGUUUGCAUCGUUGGUUCAAGAGUACUCCAACAGAUCAACAGGUGUAUGAAUAAAAAAUUUUACCUACGAGUCCAAUUAACAAUAAGUGACAUGAUAUUUCCUUUGUCAACAUUCCUUUUUAAAUCCGAAUUUUGUAGUCGAAUAGCUUUUAGAUGAGUGAUCAUGCAACAUGAUAUUUUUCUCUAAGUAUGUGUUAUUUGUUACUGUAAAGGGGGAUCUGAG
RNAcentral lists this unclassified non-coding RNA (763 nucleotides) under Hevea brasiliensis (rubber tree). The record is from RNAcentral. Lineage: Eukaryota; Viridiplantae; Streptophyta; Magnoliopsida; Malpighiales; Euphorbiaceae.